CCUACGGGUGGCAGCAGUGAGGAAUAUUGGUCAAUGGACGAGAGUCUGAACCAGCCAAGUAGCGUGAAGGAUGACUGCCCUAUGGGUUGUAAACUUCUUUUAUAUGGGAAUAAAAUGUUCCACGUGUGGGAUUUUGUAUGUACCAUAUGAAUAAGGAUCGGCUAACUCCGUGCCAGCAGCCGCGGUAAUACGGAGGAUCCGAGCGUUAUCCGGAUUUAUUGGGUUUAAAGGGAGCGUAGGUGGAUUGUUAAGUCAGUUGUGAAAGUUUGCGGCUCAACCGUAAAAUUGCAGUUGAAACUGGCAGUCUUGAGUACAGUAGAGGUGGGCGGAAUGCGUGGUGUAGCGGUGAAAUGCUUAGAUAUCACGAAGAACUCCGAUUGCGAAGGCAGUUCACUGGACUGCAACUGACACUGAGGCUCGAAAGUGUGGGUAUCAAACAGGAUUAGACACCCGUGUAGUC
Molecule: ribosomal RNA, 460 nt
Filed under: uncultured bacterium
Lineage: Bacteria
Description: partial 16S ribosomal RNA
Rfam family: Bacterial small subunit ribosomal RNA
Source: RNAcentral